GAUGUGUAUGUCCCUGCUACAACACCAAACUUUUGUGGCGUUUUCCAAAAAUAAAUUUCAUUGAUUAAAGUGGGAAGUCAACCAACACAAAGUCAACCAACGCAAAAGUGGGAAGUCACCCAACACCACUAGAGAAAGGGGAACCCCGGGCUCUCCAUUGGAACGUUAGAGUGGACCACAGCACCGGUACCACGGUCACCUGGAGGCCCAGGAGUCAUCAGGACAAAUAACUCUGAAUAUAUAUGAAUGAUAUCUAAUGUGUUUGUGAUGAAUGGAGCAAUUACGUCAAAAUGAUACACAUCUUGAAAAAUGCUCUUUUUCUCCUGUUAGCAAUGCAUACAUAAAAACUUAACUUGGAUCUCUUUGCAUUCACCCAACCGCUGCGGCAUGUACACAGCGUGUGCUGCAGAGGA
Molecule: long non-coding RNA, 413 nt
Organism: Dermacentor silvarum
Lineage: Eukaryota; Metazoa; Arthropoda; Arachnida; Ixodida; Ixodidae
Exons: 3
Source: RefSeq, a predicted model, not a curated record